GGCGAGUGAAGCGGCAAGAGCUCAAAUUUGAAAUCUGGCCCCUCCGGGGUCCGAGUUGUAAUUUGGAGAGGAUGCUUCGGGCUCGGUCCCCAUCUAAGUGCCCCUGGAACGGGCUGUCAUAGAGGGUGAGAAUCCCGUAUGGGAUGGGCGGCCGUGCCCGUGUGAAGCUCCUUCGACGAGUCGAGUUGUUUGGGAAUGCAGCUCUAAGCGGGUGGUAAAUUUCAUCUAAAGCUAAAUACUGGCCGGAGACCGAUAGCGCACAAGUAGAGUGAUCGAAAGAUGAAAAGCACUUUGAAAAGAGAGUUAAACAGCACGUGAAAUUGUUGAAAGGGAAGCGUUGGCCACCAGACGCGCCCGGGGGGGCUCAGCCGGCACGUGUGCCGGUGUACUCCCCCCCGGACGGGUCAGCAUCGGUUUGGGCGGUCGCUGAAAGGCUCUGGGAAUGUAGCACCCUCCGGGGUGCCUUAUAGCCCAGGGUGUCAUGCGGCCCGCCUGGACCGAGGUUCGCGCUUCGGCGAGGAUGCUGGCGUAAUGGUGGUCAACGGCCCGUCUUGAACCANCGGGACNNA
RNAcentral lists this ribosomal RNA (569 nucleotides) under Talaromyces purpureogenus. RNAcentral describes it as "partial large subunit ribosomal RNA". It matches the Rfam family "Eukaryotic large subunit ribosomal RNA", at positions 88 to 664 of the family's 3401-position model. The record is from RNAcentral. Lineage: Eukaryota; Fungi; Ascomycota; Eurotiomycetes; Eurotiales; Trichocomaceae.